Hyla sarda is the source of this 1102-nucleotide long non-coding RNA. RefSeq lists it as uncharacterized. NCBI's taxonomy places the organism in Eukaryota, Metazoa, Chordata, Amphibia, Anura, Hylidae. The record is from RefSeq and is a predicted model, not a curated record. The transcript has 3 exons.
ACGCCGCAGCUACGGACCUGCUAUAUCACUGCUCCCAAACCAAGCCAAAAUCAAUGCUCUGCUUGUGAAGUAGAACUGCUACUCCCAUCAUUUUCGGCCCGUCGCAGUACGGGACCAGGGGACACGGGGUUUAGGGUAAAGAAUGCGGAUUGUAACCCAGUCUAGCCAGAUGCAAACCAGUUGUGACUUAGAGGAAUCACAUCUCCAGUGAAACAUCAAUUAUUCCUGUCUUAAGGUGGUUGAUUAAUAAAAUUUCACAGUAAAUUUUGAGAUUUUACCUACAGCAAUCCAUGAUAUUUCCAGCUGGCCCAACAUAUCUACAAAAUCUAGAAUUAAAGAAAAUCAGCCUGAAUGCAGGUGGGCCAGAAUGAACAUCAACAUUUCCACAGUCACCAGCAUGUUUUAAUCCCAGAUGAAGAAUUCUAAAAACUGAAGAUAUAAUACGAAGAUCUCAUCUGGACAGUUGCUUGGUUUAAGCAGUGAUAUAUUGCAGAAACAAAAACAUUUUAGGUCAUUAAUAUACCUUACUGCCCUUGGGAAUGAUAUAUCCUGGUACAUUUAUUAUUACUGCUCUAGGUUAAGCAAUGAUAAACGUUGUGUCUGACAGGACCGUCAGUUAGACAUUCAAGCAAAAUACAAAAGACUUUAGUCUCAACUCCACAUGGACAUGUUAAGGAAUUCAGGAGCUGAGCCCACUACUGGCGAGCGCCAGUUACCAACUGCAGCAAACACUUGCCGCCAGAAACCAGUUUCAGAGAUAUUUCUGAUCCAGGCCAUUGCCUUCUUGCCAUGCCAUGGUCAAUAGUGGCCAUACAGACAGUGAAAUAGAAAAUGUAAUUGGAAAAAUAAAGGACACUACAAUAUAUUAGUACCUGGUAUAACCUUCACGCAGGGGUCCUUACAUGUAUGGCAUCUACAUCCUAACAAACAAUCGAGCCAGUACAGAAGCUGAGCUUGCUUCAUGGACAACAGGUGCUGGCUGCUAUCAGCAUCCAACAUUCACUGUCAAUAAAAGACAACAGAGAUCAAGCUGAUGUCAGUCAUUUAACACCCUGCAGCAAUCAAUAGUGAUCGCAGCUAAAUGACGGGUGCUGUUCUUGUC